CCUACGGGGGGCAGCAGUGGGGAAUAAUGCACAAUGGGCGCAAGCCUGAUGCAGCCAUGCCGCGUGUAUGAAGAAGGCCUUCGGGUUGUAAAGUACUUUCAGCGGGGAGGAAGGUGUUGUGGUUAAUAACCACAGCAAUUGACGUACCCGCAGAAGAAGCACCGGCUAACUCCGUGCCAGCAGCCGCGGUAAUACGGAGGGUGCAAGCGUUAAUCGGAAUUACUGGGCGUAAAGCGCACGCAGGCGGUCUGUCAAGCCGGAUGUGAAAUCCCCGGGCUCAACCUGGGAACUGCAUUCGAAACUGGCAGGCUAGAGUCUUGUAGAGGGGGGUAGAAUUCCAGGUGUAGCGGUGAAAUGCGUAGAGAUCUGGAGGAAUACCGGUGGCGAAGGCGGCCCCCUGGACAAAGACUGACGCUCAGGAGCGAAAGCGUGGGGAGCAAACAGGAUUAGAUACCCGGGUAGUC
This 464-nucleotide ribosomal RNA is filed under the name uncultured bacterium. Its description in RNAcentral is "bacterial SSU rRNA". It matches the Rfam family "Bacterial small subunit ribosomal RNA", at positions 338 to 795 of the family's 1533-position model. The record is from RNAcentral.